This 1297-nucleotide unclassified non-coding RNA is filed under the name uncultured Neocallimastigales. RNAcentral describes it as "partial contains internal transcribed spacer 1, 5.8S ribosomal RNA, internal transcribed spacer 2, and large subunit ribosomal RNA". The stretch from base 555 to 1297 matches the Rfam family "Eukaryotic large subunit ribosomal RNA", at positions 1 to 629 of the family's 3401-position model. Lineage: Eukaryota; Fungi; Neocallimastigomycota; Neocallimastigomycetes; Neocallimastigales. The record is from RNAcentral.
UAAGUAGACGCUUAAUAUCUACCCUUUGUGAAUUUGUUGUUUUGAAAUAAUUUUUUUUAAAUUAUUGAUUGUCUUUCCCUGUUGAAUUGGUUGUUUAACGCAAAUGAUUCGCAGGGGAGUGUCAGUAAUUUUUAAAAGACCUUUUUUAAAAUUAAACUUUUUGUAUUCAUUUGUCUAAAAUUAUUUUAAAUAUAAAAACAACUUUGACAACGGAUCUCUUGGUUCUCGCAACGAUGAAGAACGCAGCAAAUGCGAUAGUGUGAAUUGCAGAUACGUGAAUCAUCGAAUCUUCGAACGCAUAUUGCACUUUUUUAGUUUACUAAAAAGUAUGUCUGUUUGAGUAUCAGUAAAUAUCUCAUAAAAACUUUUUGUUUUUAUGGUUAUGAGUGUUUUACAACGAUACAAGUUGUUUCACUUUAAAUUUUUUUUAAAUUUGAAUUUUUCUAAUUUUAAAAUAAAAUGGAUAAAACUUUCCCGUAAAAAGGAAUACCUAAAACAAUUUUAAUUUUUUGAUUAGAAUUCUUCAAUUAAGAAGGAAAUUUAACUAAAUAACUUGAUCUCAAAUCAGAUAAGAGUACCCGCUGAACUUAAGCUUAUCAAUAAGCAGAGGAAAAGAAACUAACAAGGAUCCCUUAGUAACGGCGAGUGAAGCGGGAAGAGCUCAAAUUUGAAAUUUCAAGGUUUUACCUUGACGAAUUGUAGUUUAAAGAAGUGUUUCUGUUGAGUUUUGGUAAAAGUUCUUUGAAUAGGACAUCAUAGAGGGUGAAUCCCGUAUUGACCAUUAUUUCAGCUGUGUGAUACACUUUCAAAGAGUCGGAUUGUUUGGGAAUGCAGUCCAAAAUGGGUGGUAAUUUCAUCUAAAGCUAAUAUUGGCGAGAGACCGAUAGCGAACAGUACCGUGAGGAAAGAUGAAAGACUUUGAAAGAGAGUUAAACAGUACGUGAAAUUGUCAAAGGGAAGCGUUUGACACCAGUGUUGUUUUCUCGAAAAUCAAUUAAAAAAGUUGGAUUUUGUGUUGUAUUGACCUAACAGCUUGCUUCACUCUUUUCUUGCUUUUUUAAUGCACUUUUCGUUAAAAGUCAACAUCAGUUCUUUUGUUGUAAAAGGGUCAUUGAAGUGCUUUCUCUUCGGGAAAGUGUUUAUAGCUUUGAUCUCUGCAAUCGGAGAGACUGAGGUCUGCAGCGUAGAUCCUUCGGGUUAGAUACAUUGUGCUAAGCUACAGCUUUCAUAGACAACUUGUUGACUAUGUUAGUCUGUAACUUACCCGUUAUGCUAUUUUACCUACGCUGGAUGUUGA